AGAAAAAUAACAAAAACAAAAUGAAGAGGGGUGAGCAGUGCACAACUCCGCGCAGGUUAGCAUAUGCCCCCUUUGUCUCUGGGUCCUUCCGUUUACACCUCUUUAUCCCCAAAAAACUACACGCACAAGCCGUCUUCCUCUUGGUGGCCGCCUCUUUGCCAUAUAGAUCUAAGAGAUCGCUUUGCUAUCUCUUCGCGUUUCGGUUCGUUUCGGCCAUUUUCGAGAUCUGCGUUUGGAUUCGAGUUCGAAAAUCGCUCAAUUUCGAUCCAGUUUCAUCGAAUCUGGAGAAAAUUUGAGUAGUUGUAAGGUGCAAUUCUCUCUGCUCUCUGGAUUGAUUGAAGUGGAGAUAAUAAGCUGCAAUGCGGGGAUAUGAAAGAGAUGAUUUUGAAGAUUAUGAUGAAUAUGAGGAGGAAGGAUAUGAACAACAGGAAGAAGGUGAGGAGGAGGAAUAUGAGGAGGAAGAAGAGCAAAAACCAAGUGCAGAGGCAAUUGAAUAUCUUGAAUUAAGGCAACGAAUUAAAGAACAAAUUAGGAAGAAAAUGCAGAGGGAAAAUGGUCCUGCUGUUUCCAAAUCCCAGGAGAUAAAGAAGAAACUUCCUUCUGAUAAUUAUGGGUCAUUCUUUGGCCCUUCUCAGCCGGUUAUUGCCCAAAGAGUAAUUCAAGAAAGCAAGUUAUUACUAGAAAACCCACAUUUGGCUUUCAGAGUUUCAAAUUCCCAUCAUGUAUGUAUCUUAAACUUUUAGAUGUAAAAUUGAAUGAAUAUACUACUAAUACAAUCCAAUCUCAAGCUCAAACUUGCUUAUGGAGCAUUCUUGAUUUUUAUGAAUUGGGAAAAUGACAACUCUCUAGUUGCUUGUUUUAUUGAGGUUGCUUUGAUUUUACAAUUUGAAUAAAGCUUUCAGCAGUGUGGUAGCCAACUGAAGGAAGCUGCUUGCAAGCCCUUUGUUCAAUGCUGGGAGGAAGAUCCCUAUAAUUUGAUAAAUUUUAAGGGGAAAUUGUUGUUUUCCUUGAUAUUUUAGUGAAUCUUACUUCUUGAUUUUUGCAACCUGAGAUGAUGACAAGCUAGAGAAAUUAAUUUCUUUCUCCACUGAAAAUCCAUAAUGUUAUAAGUAUCAAUUAUGGUACAACAUUUGGGUAUUGGCUUGAUGAUUUGUUCUCUUGUUCUGUUAUGGACUAUAUUGUCACCCUAAGCACAUUUGCCAAAUGACAGUGCUGAAAGCUGCUUUGAAUUUUUAUGUUGGCUUUUGUUGUGAUGAUCUUGCUGCUGCUGCUGCAGCAGGACAAAAAGACCUCCUCUUCAAGUGGCACAGGUUCAAAGAAUGGAGUUCGUCAGCCACUACCCAAAGUCAGAAAUGAGCUAAAAACAAAAGUGCAGAAACUUAGAGAUACAAGAGAUUACUCCUUCCUGUUAUCUGAUGAUGCGGAACUUCCAGCUCCUCCCAAACCAUCUGUGCCUCAAACUGUUGCUACUCCAAAAUCUGGUAAAUUGCUAAUUUAGUAUACAAUUCUGUUUGUUGGUGCUUAAUACAUGCUAUUGAGAAAACUUAUACAGGAUUUUUGCUGGUGUUCAAGAGGCACGAUCUGCACAAGUGCCACAGAAGAGUAAACAGCUAUCAGGCAGUAAUGUCAGAGAUAUUCGUGGUGCUUAUGAAGAAAGGAAAUCAAUUCCUAUCAAUGGCCGAAUGCAUUCUAAAUCAGGGUUGUAUAAGUCAACUUCAACCGACAAACCCACUUCAGCAUCAACAGACUUGAGACGGCAGCUUGGUAGCAACAAUGGAUCCGGGCCUGGUCGGCCUACAGGGCCAAAAGGUUUGCCUUCAAAGAUGCCUCUUAGCACCAUGGAGAAGAAGUCCAUUGCACCAGCUGCAAAAACAAUCCUUCCUGCUGCACGCAAACCACUCCCUCCGAAUAAGCAGUCAUCUGUUCCAAGGCUACAAGUUGAACAGAAAAGGGUAUUACCACAACCCAAGAAGAAUGUAGUUAUGCCAAAUAAGCCAGUGGCCUCUUCAAAACCUCAGGUUUAGGCCAAUACUUAAUUUUUUUUUAAAGUUUGUGACAAGGUAAAUCUUUGUGAAAAAUUGUCUUACUUUUUACUUCUGAAAAAUUAGCAGAUAAAUAGACCAUUCAAGCAGAUUUCAUCCCAUGCAUCAUUGCAAAAUAAUCAUCCCAAGAAAAAGCCUGCCAGACCAUUCUUUGAUGAUGAAGAUGAGGAUACAAAGGCUCUUGAUAUUAUUAGGCAAAUGUUCAAGUAAGGCUAAACCCAGCGCGCUGCGGCCCCCGCCCCCUGCCGCUCCACCACCCUCCCUUCUCCUCUUUCUCAUUUCUCCUUUCUCUUCUUCCCUCCAUCCCUUUUAUGUUGGCACGCAUCUAUUGGUGAUUUAAAAAAUUAUAUAAUCCUUAGGUUAGGACUUAGAACCCACAUAUGGGUCAAGGUUUUUUCACUGAAGUUCAGUUUUGAUUUAACAAUGAAUUGAUUUGAGUUGACCUUAUUUAUGAUUUUGAAUAAGCCAGCCUAAUGCUGUCCAGUCAUAGUGUUUCUGAUGGCUUUUACAAAUGUGAUAAUGGAUUUUUGUGUCAUUUCAUUUCUAGAUUCAACAAGUAAUUUUAUUCUUAUAAUAAUCACUAGUGGGGAUGUUACAUGGGAACUCCCUGAAAAAGGACCAGCUUCUGAUAUUUAUAAAAUUCAAUGACUAAAAUAUUGAAUGUGAAAGGAGGGACCAAAAUUUAUAGUGACUUGAAUUUGUGUGUACAUGUGUGCGCACAUGUGCGUGUACUUGUGCACGCCGUGCACAUAUGCAUGUGUUUAAAUAUCCCAAAUCUUACAUUAGUUAAAAUUUGUUUCAAGAGCUUCUUUCAGCAAUUAGUAUAUAAACCUGGAUUGAAAAUAAAAUUUAUGCUUUUGACCAUUAUCUUUUUGCUGCUUUUGUUUCUCUGAUUGAAAUAGUGCAAGUUAGUUUCAUAUUUAAUAAGAGAUUCCUUUUUUUCCAGUACAAGAAGGUAUGCUGAUCGCUAUGAUGACGAAGAUGAUGAUAGUAUGAUGGAGGCAAACUUUGAUGAUAUCAUGAGGGAAGAGAGGAGAAGUGCAAAAAUAGCAAAGGAGGAGGAUGAGGAGCAACUCCGCCUGAUAGAGGAAGAGGAGCGGCGGGAGCAGCAGAGAAAAUUGGCAAAGAAGCGCAAGCUGAGCCAACAUUGACGGAGUGACAAUUCCUCAUUUCUUUUCUAUUUUCUGAUUCUGGCAAGGUCCCAUCCAGUUCUGCAUCACUGCCUAUGAUGAUGUAGUUUGGGUUCUCAUUGUGCUUAUAUUCUUGAAUUAUAGGAAUGUGUUUGGCAGUUUUAGAUGCAAUUAAUUAUAGAUAACAAGUGAAGGUAUUUUUGGCAGUUGCAUUUUUUUGACUUAGGAAUAAUAUUGCUGUGUAGUGAUUCCUGGCCAAUUCAUUAGGAUUAUACUGACCAAGGAAAAUGUCUUCACAUAUGGUCUGGCUGAAAGAUUUGUUGGGUUUGGAAAAUGAUCGAUAUGUCAUUUCUAACUUUUGGUGCGAUGGCAAAAUUUUGUUUUAUGCAAUUUUUCUUAACUAAACUGUAGUUACAUGCAAAUAGUUUUUUU
This 3604-nucleotide unclassified non-coding RNA is filed under the name Hevea brasiliensis (rubber tree). The record is from RNAcentral. Lineage: Eukaryota; Viridiplantae; Streptophyta; Magnoliopsida; Malpighiales; Euphorbiaceae.